RNAcentral lists this ribosomal RNA (559 nucleotides) under uncultured bacterium. Its description in RNAcentral is "bacterial SSU rRNA". It matches the Rfam family "Bacterial small subunit ribosomal RNA", at positions 338 to 916 of the family's 1533-position model. The record is from RNAcentral.
CCUACGGGAGGCAGCAGUGGGGAAUCUUAGACAAUGGGGGCAACCCUGAUCUAGCCAUGCCGCGUGAGUGAUGAAGGCCUUAGGGUCGUAAAGCUCUUUCGCCUGUGAUGAUAAUGACAGUAGCAGGUAAAGAAACCCCGGCUAACUCCGUGCCAGCAGCCGCGGUAAUACGGAGGGGGUUAGCGUUGUUCGGAAUUACUGGGCGUAAAGCGCGCGUAGGCGGAUUAGAAAGUUGGGGUGAAAUCCCGGGGCUCAACCCCGGAACUGCCUCCAAAACUGCUAGUCUAGAGUUCGAGAGAGGUGAGUGGAAUUCCGAGUGUAGAGGUGAAAUUCGUAGAUAUUCGGAGGAACACCAGUGGCGAAGGCGGCUCACUGGCUCGAUACUGACGCUGAGGUGCGAAAGUGUGGGGAGCAAACAGGAUUAGAUACCCUGGUAGUCCACACCGUAAACGAUGAAUGCCAGUCGUCGGAUAGUAUACUAUUCGGUGACACACCUAACGGAUUAAGCAUUCCGCCUGGGGAGUACGGUCGCAAGAUUAAAACUCAAAGGAAUUGACGG